GACGAACGCUGGCGGCGUGCUUAACACAUGCAAGUCGAACGGAAAGGCCCGGCUUUUGGGGGGUGCUCGAGUGGCGAACGGGGGAGUAAAACGUGAGUAACCUGCCCUUGCCUUUGGGAUAACUUCAGGAAACUGGGGCUAUUACCGGAUAGAAGCUCCUGCGCCAUGGGGGGGGUUGGAAAGUUUCGGCGGUUGGGGAUGGACUGGCGGCUUAUCAGCUUGUUGGUGGGGUAGUGGCUUACCAAGGCUUUGACGGGUAGCCGGCCUGAGAGGGUGACCGGCCACAUUGGGACUGCGAUACGGCCCAGACUCCUACGGGAGGCAGCAGUGGGGAAUAUUGCACAAUGGGCGGAAGCCUGAUGCAGCAACGCCGCGUGCGGGAUGACGGCCUUCGGGUUGUAAACCGCUUUCGCCUGUGACGAAGCGUGAGUGACGGUAAUGGGUAAAGAAGCACCGGCUAACUACGUG
This 468-nucleotide ribosomal RNA is filed under the name uncultured bacterium. RNAcentral's name for it is "partial 16S ribosomal RNA". It matches the Rfam family "Bacterial small subunit ribosomal RNA", at positions 28 to 507 of the family's 1533-position model. The record is from RNAcentral.